GCCUGGCUGGCUCAGUUGGUAGAGCGUGCGACUCUCGCUCUUGGGGUUGUGAGUUCAAGACCCACGUUGGGCA
Felis catus (domestic cat) is the source of this 73-nucleotide transfer RNA. It matches the Rfam family "tRNA". Rfam says of the family: Transfer RNA (tRNA) molecules are approximately 80 nucleotides in length. Their secondary structure includes four short double-helical elements and three loops (D, anti-codon, and T loops). The record is from Rfam. NCBI's taxonomy places the organism in Eukaryota, Metazoa, Chordata, Mammalia, Carnivora, Felidae.